Non-coding RNA from Xyrichtys novacula (pearly razorfish), 2390 nucleotides. Lineage: Eukaryota; Metazoa; Chordata; Actinopteri; Labriformes; Labridae. The record is from the annotation of a GenBank genome assembly.
CCGCUAACGGAGCUGGUUUGGCUAACAAACAUUUCGAGCAGCCUCUGUUAGCUUGGAUUAUUUUCUGAAUUUUCUCCUCCUCUGAGUGAAAAUUCCCCACCUUUAAACCGGUAAGACGUUGAUUUAUUUCUUUUAUGAGGGGAAAUGUUCGUUGUUAGCAGAACUUUACGUUUUUAAAAUGCUGAAUUCGACUUUUAACCGAAGCAGCUCGGAGUGUGUGGCCGCCAUUAACGUACCGGUUCAGGUAAAACCAUAAACUGUAUAUAGAGUCUAUAUUAUGUAUUAUAUACAGUCUGUGGGUAAAACCUGACAGUUAGAAACAUUUCUGAAUUUAGUUAAUCCUUUUUAAUCUUUGAAACUUCGUGUCUUUGUUUGUUUUUUUGUCAGAUUAAAAUCAUCUCUAAACCUGGAGUGUUGACAGAUGUGCUGAGUGGCUGAAGUCCCACAGGUGAGGAGAGACCAGCAGCAGGUAGACUUUUUUAUUUUUAAAACACUGUUAUUACACCUGGUUUUUAUUUAUUUAUUCAUUUUUAUUUUUAUUUUUUUUUUAGAGCAGAAAAAACAGGUGUUCAUGUCUUUAUUGUUUUUUAAUGUUUAAGAUUUUAAUGAAGAGUUUAACCUCAGAUUAUUAACUUCUAUUCAGCCUAAAAAGCCUUUAAUCCACAAUUUAACUCCACAUCACUGCGAUUAAUUUACAUGUUUUCAAUGUUUGACCCUGAACUUUAUUGCCAAACCCGCCAGAGACAUUAACAUUAUUAUUCAUGAAUAAUCUCCAAUAACAGGCUGGUAUGGAGUGACCUUUAACCUCUGGACUGUGAUCGUUUUGACACCAACAAACUAGAAAAUAAAUCAGAAACUCUCUCUGAUGUAAGGCUGAAAAUGUCUUUGGGUUUAGACGUGUCUCUGUUCAUAUUUCACACAAAUUAAAACUGAUUUAGUCGAUUAUUUGGGUGAUAAAUUAAAAAGAUUGUAAAUGGAUUUUGGAUUUGGUUUUAUUUAAAUGUUUUCCAGCUGUGUUUGUGGCCUUAACAGCAAAAGGCCUUCAAAAUAAAAUCAUUAGAAUUUAAUUUUUACUGAAAUCUGAAGGAUUAUCGUUAGAAAAAUCGAGUGACUGUCCUCAAGCCUGUAUGUUUGUGUUUAAUCAUAUUUAUAAUUGAAAGAUUGAAGUCUUGUUCGCUCUACAUAAAACCUGAAAGUGUCUCUGGAGGAAAAGAGGAGAAAGUGAGGCGUGAUGAAGGAGAAGAUGGAGUGAGACAGAGCAGCUGUUCACAUCUGGUCACGUUCAUCUUUUAAUUCACACUUUAAAUCAUUUCAACUCCACACGUCAGGGAAUGUUAGUUACUUUUGCACAAUUUUCUAUAAAUAAAUUAGCAGCGUCCUUUUUUUGUGUUUUUGUCAGAAAGAGAAAACCUCAGAGAGUCAGUCUGAUCCAGAGAGGACGAGGAGGCUCCGAAAACCUCAGAAUGUUCCAGACAAACUCUGACACAACGCGCUUCGCUCAGUUUAAAGGUCCACGUCACGUCCUCAGUUUGGUCCCGUGUGAGUAUUUACAUGUGAAGGAGGAGGAGAGAACACGUCUGCCCUCCUCCUCCUCCUCCUCCUCAGCUCUGCGUCUUUAUUCACAGUUUUAGGUGAGGUUCGGCGUGAACACUGCGGCUCCUCCUGCAGGGAAACUGUUCUGCUGAACGAGGUGCUGAGGCUCGAGCUGACGGUGAACAUUUGUGUUUGAAUAUUUCCUGUGAAGAAGAAAAACUCCAGAAUGACCUGAAACAAAAACCUGAUCUCAAAACGACACGGUGAGGAUUUUCACAACGAUUAAAACAGAAUCUGAUGUGAAAUCAAGUGUAACUCUCCAAUCAUGUCAGCAGGUUGAUUUGAUCAGACUAAAUAAAUCUUUAGAAAACCGUUUUUUAAAACGAUCAUUUGUGUAAAGUUAAUUUCAGAUUGAUGAAUCAAAUAUUCAGGUUUUCACCCUCUCACUCCGUCCUGCAGGUCUGCACAAAUCUCUACUGUGAGUUCAGGACAGACUGGAUCAGGUUCAGUUUGAAUAAUUUUAACCUUUUUAUUUUUGAUCAAAAAAAUCAAAAACAUGAACUUGGCACCAAACUGGACUUUGAAUUUAAUUUUCCCUCACAGGACAGGGACACCGACAUGAUCAAUUAUUGAUCAAAGAAAUUAAAUUAACUAAAUAAGUUAAUUUAAAUGAUAAAACAAAAAUCAAAUAGUUUGUUUUUAACCUUUCUGUGCCUCUGAUUUUUCCUCUCAGAUUUCAACAUUUGAUGAAAAGGCCUGAGAAGAUUUAUGGACUGUUUACUCCGUAAGAAUUUAAAAUGAAUCCUUAAAAUCAAAGUCAUGCUGGAGCACAUUUCUGAGCUCUUCAAAUUAAAUAA